CCCUUAGAUGUUCUGGGCCGCACGCGCGCUACACUGAUGAAUUCAACGAGCCUAGCCUUGUCCGAAAGGUCCGGGUAAUCUCUGAAACUUCAUCGUGAUGGGGGUAGAUCAUUGCAAUUAUUGAUCUUCAACGAGGAAUUCCUAGUAAGCGCAAGUCAUCAGCUUGCGUUGAUUACGUCCCUGCCCUUUGUACACACCGCCCGUCGCUUGUACCGAUUGGAUGGUCCGGUGAAAUCUUCGGAUAGCUGGUAGUUGGCUUGCCAUCUACUGCUAAAAGUUGCUUAAACCUUAUCAUCUAGAGGAACAAGAAGUCGUAACA
Molecule: ribosomal RNA, 319 nt
Filed under: uncultured eukaryote
Lineage: Eukaryota
Description: partial 18S ribosomal RNA
Rfam family: Eukaryotic small subunit ribosomal RNA
Source: RNAcentral